GCUCUGUCUCUCUCUCUAUAGCACCACCACCACCGCCACCUCCUCCCUCUCUCUCUCUCUUCUCUCUCUAUAGAUAUCAUCUAAAAUCACUCUCCCCUCAACUCUUUGUCCAUGUCUCUCUCUCUACAUUCCUUCCUGAAUUAUCAAAAACACCAGCCAUCAACCAUCAUCACUGUUACCAUCGUUGUUUGCAAACCGUCGCCCCCACCCUUUAAACUCUAGAUCCCAAGCCGUCGGAGAUAAAAAAACCUGAAAUUGAAGAUAUCACCGGUGGUUAUCGGUGGCCACAAACAAUGAAGAUACAGGUUUUGCUUGGUGGUAGUCGUUUUCCGGUGGCCACGAACAACGAAGAUAUCGGCGACACUACCAGAUCUGCAGAGAUAUGAACUCGCCGGAGAGUUUAGAGAGAAGGAUAGAGAGUUCCAUAUUUAAAUAUCCAAGAUUUGGGUACAGUGAAAUCAAAGUCACAAAAUUGGAAUAAGGCAUUGUAUGUGGAAAUAUAUAAAUAUUCAAUACUUGAAAAGAUCCAAGAGUUUUGCCAAUUUAAGAUGA
This 552-nucleotide long non-coding RNA is filed under the name Helianthus annuus (common sunflower). RNAcentral describes it as "hypothetical non coding rna". The record is from RNAcentral. Lineage: Eukaryota; Viridiplantae; Streptophyta; Magnoliopsida; Asterales; Asteraceae.